Molecule: long non-coding RNA, 784 nt
Filed under: Homo sapiens (human)
Lineage: Eukaryota; Metazoa; Chordata; Mammalia; Primates; Hominidae
Description: HSALNT0044918
Source: RNAcentral
AGGCAUUGCAGAACUGAUUUUAUAAAGGAAGAACGUGUACCAUAAAUAUUGCUAGUUAAGAGCAUGUAUACUGUUGAGUUCUACCUCCUCAGAAGUCUAAAAGGUUUCCUUCCUUUGAGGGUGAAGAAGCAGUAACAGGCGUCCUCCAUCAGACCCCUCUCUGUGGGCACCUAGAACACUUCCCAUUGACGUCUGCUUCAAGGGGAGGUCACUAAAAGUGCCCCACAUGAUGCAGCAGACAUUUCGCUGGUCCCAGUGCCCUCCCCAAGACCUUCCAGAUGGUGAAGUGUUAAGAGUCUAAAAUGGAGUAAAUGAUCUGCAGAAAUUCAGUGGUGUCAGAGGAGCCAGUCCAAAGUCACUCGGCUCUAAACGCUGCGAUUCUAUUAUUUUAAUGAUGCCCAGGAACACAAAGAGGCACGACAGACCCAGAGAUAUGGCACGCACACUUGGGAAACCCAGAAUAAUGGGAACUCAAAACUGUUAUUCAUUCGAGAGCUCAUCAGUCCAAGAAGAUGCCACCUUGGUCAGAUGUGGAUGAGGCAUGACUGGACCGACCCUGUGGGCUCGGCACCCACCUGUGCUAUAAACUGUUCAUGUGAAAACUGUGUGCCCCUGGGUUGUCUGACCUGCAGCUGUACCGCACUUUUAGUACAAUGCCUGCCACCCACAGGAGUGUUGUCACAAUUGAAGUGAAUGCUAUAAAGCAUUGUGAGCAACUCAAAAGAAGGGUGCUGCUUAACUACCCAAAAUUACUAUACACCCACAGGUAAAGCUCUCUCUCUCU